UACGGAGGGUGCAAGCGUUGUCCGGAAUCACUGGGCGUAAAGGGCGCGUAGGCGGCUCAUGAAGGCUGUGGUGAAAGUCCGGGGCUCAACCUCGGAUCGGCCGUGGCGACUCGUGGGCUGGAGCACUGUAGAGGCGGGUGGAAUUCCGGGUGGAGUGGUGAAAUGCGUAGAGAUCCGGAGGAACACCAAAGGCGAAGGCAGUGUCCUGGGGAGUACCUGACGCUCAGGUGCGAAAGCCAGGGG
RNAcentral lists this ribosomal RNA (243 nucleotides) under uncultured bacterium. Its description in RNAcentral is "partial 16S ribosomal RNA". It matches the Rfam family "Bacterial small subunit ribosomal RNA", at positions 524 to 766 of the family's 1533-position model. The record is from RNAcentral.